RNAcentral lists this ribosomal RNA (567 nucleotides) under uncultured archaeon. RNAcentral describes it as "partial 16S ribosomal RNA". It matches the Rfam family "Archaeal small subunit ribosomal RNA", at positions 60 to 636 of the family's 1478-position model. The record is from RNAcentral.
CUUUGUAGCAUACAAGGCAGANGGCUCAGUAACACGUAGNNNNNNNNNANGNACGGGGAUAACCUCGGGAAACUGAGAANNNNNNNNGAUAGAUCAUUAUGCCUGGAAUGGUUUAUGGUCGAAAUGAUUUAUCGCCGUAGGAUGGGACUGCGGUCUAUCAGCUUGUUGGUGAGGUAAUGGCCCACCAAGGCUAUAACAGAUACGGGCUCUGAGAGGAGAAGCCCGGAGAUGGGUACUGAGACACGGACCCAGGCCCUAUGGGGCGCAGCAGGCGAGAAAACUUUGCAAUGUGCGAAAGCACGACAAGGUUAAUCCGAGUGUUUUCUGCUAAAGAAAUCUUUUGUCAGUCCUAAAAACACUGAUGAAUAAGGGGUGGGCAAGUUCUGGUGUCAGCCGCCGCGGUAAAACCAGCACCUCAAGUGGUCAGGAGGAUUAUUGGGCCUAAAGCAUCCGUAGCCGGCCGUGUAAGUUUUCGGUUAAAUCUAUACGCUCAACGUAUAGGCUGCCGGGAAUACUGCACAGCUAGGGAGUGGGAGAGGUAGACGGUACUCGGUAGGNNGGGGUAAA